GAUGAACGCUGGCGGCGUGCUUAACACAUGCAAGUCGAACGAGAAGUGAAGACGGAAACCUUCGGGCGGAAGGCUUUAUUUCGAGUGGCGGACGGGUGAGUAACGCGUGGGUAACCUGCCUCAUACAGGGGGAUAACAGUUGGAAACGACUGUUAAUACCGCAUAAGACCACAGCACCGCAUGGUGCGGGGGUAAAAACUCCGGUGGUAUGAGAUGGACCCGCGUUCGAUUAGCCAGUUGGCGGGGUAACGGCCCACCAAGGCGACGAUCGAUAGCCGAUCUGAGAGGAUGACCGGCCACAUUGGGACUGAGACACGGCCCAAACUCCUACGGGAGGCAGCAGUGGGGAAUAUUGCACAAUGGGGGAAACCCUGAUGCAGCGACGCCGCGUGAGUGAAGAAGUAUUUCGGUAUGUAAAGCUCUAUCAGCAGGGAAGAAAAUGACGGUACCUGAGUAAGAAGCCCCGGCUAACUACGUG
This 478-nucleotide ribosomal RNA is filed under the name uncultured bacterium. Its description in RNAcentral is "partial 16S ribosomal RNA". It matches the Rfam family "Bacterial small subunit ribosomal RNA", at positions 28 to 507 of the family's 1533-position model. The record is from RNAcentral.